Molecule: non-coding RNA, 78 nt
Organism: Potamilus streckersoni
Lineage: Eukaryota; Metazoa; Mollusca; Bivalvia; Unionida; Unionidae
Source: the annotation of a GenBank genome assembly
GAAAUAUAAAAAUGGCACAGUGGUUAGAGCGACCGCCUCGAAUGCGGGAUGUUGCGGGUUCGAUCCCCGGUCGAGUCA